AUGGAAGGUGGUGUGGCCGUGAUCCGUGCUGGGGUUCUGUCCCCGCUGGGCUGUUGUCCCAGUUGGAUUGCUGCUAUGGAACUCAGCGCCGAAUACCUGCGGGAGAAACUGCAGCAGGACCUGGAGGCGGAGCACGUGGAGAUGGAGGACACGACCCUCUGUAGCAGCGCAUCCAGCUUCCAAGUCCUGGUGGUGUCGACCAAGUUCGAGGGGAAGCCACUACUUCAGAGAUGCCGGCUGGUGAACGCUUCCCUAGCUGAAGAACUCCUGCACAUCCAUGCCUUUGAACAGAAAACCCUGACCCCAGAGCAGCGGGCCCGUGAGUGGCAGAAAUGAGGGUCCAGGACCUGCACAGCCAUUAAGUUAUAAGUC
Carlito syrichta (Philippine tarsier) is the source of this 372-nucleotide RNA transcript. It is a transcript of the gene named bolA-like protein 2 pseudogene, with no coding region annotated. The record is from RefSeq and is a predicted model, not a curated record. Lineage: Eukaryota; Metazoa; Chordata; Mammalia; Primates; Tarsiidae. The transcript has a single exon.